This 263-nucleotide ribosomal RNA is filed under the name uncultured archaeon. Its description in RNAcentral is "partial 16S ribosomal RNA". It matches the Rfam family "Archaeal small subunit ribosomal RNA", at positions 748 to 1008 of the family's 1478-position model. The record is from RNAcentral.
CAGCCGUAAACUAAUGCGCGUUAGGUGUACUGGUGACCACGAGUCACCGGGGUGCCGAAGGGAAACCGUGAAACGUGCCGCCUGGGAAGUACGGUCGCAAGGCUGAAACUUAAAGGAAUUGGCGGGGGGAGCACCACAACAGGUGGAGCCUGCGGUUUAAUUGGACUCAACGCCGGGAAGCUCACCGGAUAGGACAGCAGAAUGAUUGCCGGGCUGAAGACCCUGCAUGACUAGCUGAGAGGUGGUGCAUGGCGUCAGUGACU